This 250-nucleotide ribosomal RNA is filed under the name uncultured prokaryote. Its description in RNAcentral is "partial 16S ribosomal RNA". It matches the Rfam family "Bacterial small subunit ribosomal RNA", at positions 524 to 773 of the family's 1533-position model. The record is from RNAcentral.
GACAGAGGGUGCAAGCGUUGUUCGGAAUUACUGGGCAUAAAGGGCGCGUAGGCGGAUAGAUAAGUUGGAUGUGAAAUACCGUAUUUUAAGUAUGGAACUGCAUUCAAGACUGCCUGUCUAGAAUAUCGGAGAGGGAAGCGGAAUUCCUGGUGUAGAGGUGAAAUUCGUAGAUAUCAGGAGGAACACCGGAGGCGAAGGCGGCUUCCUGGCCGACGAUUGACGCUGAGGCGCGAAAGCGUGGGUAUCAAAC